AAAAAAUUAAGAAAGUUAAAGCAACAAGAACAUACACUACACAGUGGCGAUAGGCAAAAUUCCAGCCAAUGUGCGCAUUUAGGAGCAAGAGGAGGAGAUGGAUAUGGGGAGGUGUCCACUUCCUGCUCACGUCAGAAGCACUGGGGAGCUUAGGUCUAAAGCUCUUCUGGGAGAGAAGAGGAGACCCUGGAUCUAAGACAUUCUGUAACUGCUGCUCUCGGCCCACAGGCCUGUUGCAAGGAGCCUUCCAGGGAACCGGCCUGCAGACUAACUCUGGAAGGGCACAUACAUAGAGCGUGUGUUGCUGAGUUUCCUCCUGCUGGUGGCAUUCUCUUGGGAAGGACUGCCUCUCCUGCCCUGGAUUUGGAUCUUGACCUUUACUGAGCGCAUUUAGCUUCCAUCAAAAUUGACUGCACACAUUCUUUGUUCAUGAAUCAGACGUCGUCGAUACAGCUUUCAUGGGAUUAGGAUGCUUUAUUCCAACCUUCAUCUUCAGGGAUUUCCAUGUAGAUGCUGCAUUGAUGGUAAUGUAUAUUAUCAGGUAACUCUUGGCUCUGGACGAGACGGAAAUAGUCCUAUUAUGGGAUAAAAGAACAGAACUAUGAAUUUGGAAGCAGAUCGGUGCAUUAUAUAACAUCUGUGACCACAUUUUGGUAUGUGUAUGUACAUGGCCAGAUAAAAUGCUAAAAGAGAGAGUGAGAGAAAGCACUUGGUCCCCAAAGUUGCUUAUAUACUCUUGAUCAUAAAAAGUCUCUCAGAAUUGACCUUGUAUCAGAAAACAACCACCACAACAAUGUUAACAUUGGUAACGGUCGGGUAGCAAUAAAGUAAGAUGCAACCUAUGAUACUGAAAGCAUUUUUAAAAACCAUUUAGCUGCUUAUUUCAUGAACAGUUUUCUUUUAAACACCUUUAUUGAGGCUACACCUGUUAUGUUAGACUCCAUAAUAAAGUCUACCAUAAGGUGAACAUUUUCGUAACUGACGCAUCCAAGGAGAAACAGGCAGGAAGAGCCAAAGUCUGCUGUGGUGAGCGGUCCAGUCACACCAGCACUGUGCAAGUGAGAAGCAGUGACCAGUCAUCCUGUCUCCACAGAGAGACUGACAGAGGAGAAAUCAGAGUGGAUACAUCAAUGAAAGUGCAACAGACUGGUCAAACGAGCUGGAGUCUAGGAAACAACAGGAAAUAUGGUGUAAAAUAUGAACGAAACUUCCUGCUAAGAUUCCUGGGAAAAUCCUAGAAACCCCUCAGGAACCAUAAGCCCUGAUGUAUGAAACAGCAUCUAUAUGUUCAAAGUACCAAAACAAAUUGUGAAGUUACUUUAGAAGUCAGCCAAAUCAAAAAGAAAAUUCAAUACUGGGAGCAUAAGGGGACAAAAAUUCUAAUUUACUUGACAGAAAAGAAGGAUUAGUUUCAAUCACUGAGUGGAUAACGUGACUUUAAAAUAGGCCAAAACAGGCUCGAUGAGCUCACUCAGAAAAUUUCAGCAGGAGAAAAAUGCCUUAAUACUAUCUUUCAUGGGCAAGCUUGGGACAAGUUCUGUCUGUUUGUUUUUAGUACUAGUUUUCUUGAAGUAUAAUUACCUAGUGGGUUGAGUAGUAUCCCCCCAAAAUUCAUGCUCUCCCAGAACCUCAGAAUGUGACCUUAUUUGGCAACAGGGUCUUUGCAGAUGUAAUUAAGGUAAGGAUCGAGAUGAGAUCCCGUUAGAUUAGCGUGGGCUCUAAAUCAAAUGAGACUGUCCUUAUAAGAAGCAGAAGGGGACACGCACCGAGACACAAGGGAGAACGCCAGGUGAAGAUGGAGGCAGAGAUUGGAGCGAUGCAUCUACAAGCCAAGAAACGCCAAGGCCUGCUGGCAACCACCAGAAACUAGGAGAGAGGAUGGAACAGAUGAUUAUCUCAGAGCUUCCAGAGGGACUGUCCCUGCCUUAACCCUGCCAAAGCCUUGAGUUUUGACUUCUGGAGUCCAAAACUGUGGAGAGAAUACAUUUCUGUUGUUUUAAGCCACCAGGCUUGUGAUAAUUUCUUAUGGCAGCUCUAGGAAACUGAUGCAGAUUCUGGUACUGGGAAUUGGGGUGCCACUACAACAGAUACCUAAAAAUGUUGGGGUGGCUUCAGAGUUGACUAAUCAAAGGCUGGAAGAGUUUUGAGGUUGGCAAUAGGAAAGGCCUAGAUUGUCUUUCAUGAGAAGGUAGAAAUAUGGAUGUUAAAGGUGAUUCAGGUGAGAACUCAGAAAGAAGUGAGAAGCAUGUAGAGAAAGUUUCUCAUCAUGAACAUGCUGUUAUUCAUGAACAGAAUCUUAGCAGAAAUAUCAAUGUUAAAGGUGCUUCUGGUGAGGCCUUAAAAGGAAAUGAGGAACAUAUUACUGGAAAUUGGAGAAGGCGAUCUUUGUUAUAAAGGGGCAGAAAACUUGGCUGAAUUGUGUCUUUUGUUCGUUGAAAACAGAACUCACAAGUGAUGAACUUGGAUAUUUAGCUGAGGAGAUUUCCAAGCAAAGCUCCUUUCUGCUUAUAGUAAAAUGCAUGAGGAAAUAAACUGAGGAAGAAACUGCCAGGCAAAAACGGACCAGCACUUCAUGAUUUGAAAGGUUCCAAGCCAAUCCAGAUACAAAGGAUGAAAAGAUGAGGAAAUUCACUGUUGGAAAGUGUGCUUGGGAGAGAGGGCCAAGGAUGCACCUGGACACCCUGUUACUGAAGAGGUUAGAUAGGUGACACAUGGAUCCACUCAGCCAUCUCAGCAGAAGCCAGGGAGAGAGAUGGGGUUUUGCAGGAAGGACCUGUGAAAAACCCUUUGUCUAAAGGUGUGGGUUGGCUUGACAUACACAAAGGACCAAUGAGCUUUUUAAGAAUGUUACAUCAGAGGAAAAACACUGCCAGCUCAGACAGAAGGAACAGAGACAGAAAGAAUGAAAAGAAGGCUAUCAAACUUCUGGGAUUCUCCAAGCAGGAAGUGGGCUGAUUGAACUACAAACAUGGGCUACCACUCAAGAAAAAGGAAGAACAUCUCCGAAGACAGAGCUGUGGACAUAGAGGCAGAGGACAGAGAGACAGGCUCAGGGCCAGGGGCCAACAGGACCACCACCCAGAGCCCAGAGGACAGGGCAUCAAGCCUCAUGGGAUUCCCAGCCUGGAAACCUCGCAGGAUUUGCCCUGCUGGCUUUGGACUUGCUUGGUGACCCCUGUAUUCCUUCCAGUUUCCCACUAUGGAAAUGGGCAUGUCUAUCCUGUACCUGACCCACCGUUCCAUUCCAGAAGGAGACAAGUUGUUUAGCUUCACAGGUGCACAGAUGGAAAGAAAGUUUUCCUGGGCUUGGGCCGUACCCAGAGUCUCACCCAUGCCUAAUUUAGAUGAUUGAGGUGAUGAGAUUUGGGACUUUUUGGGUUGAUGAUAUAGAUGAGAUUUUGGACUCAAGAGUUGAUGCUGGAAUAGGCUGAGGCUUUGGGGGGUGUGAGGAUGGGAUGAGUGACUUUUGCAUGUGGGAGGGAUGUGAAUUUUUACCACCUGGUAGGAGUUGUCUCUCUUUAUUGUUCUUUUAUUCAGAGUUCUACUAACUUUUCUUGUUUGUUUAUUUUUCCAUGUGAACUUUAGAACUGGCUUGACUAAAGCACCACACCACUCCCCAAAACAAAAAUGAAGACCUAAAAUUGUUGGCAUUUUAAUUGGGAUCAUCACAUGUAUAAAUUAACUUAGGAAUAACUGUUAUCUUAAUGAUACUAAAUGUCUACUUAAAACCUAUUAAGACAUAUUUGCCUGGCCAAUUUAUUAUUGAUUCCCUCUUCCCUUGCAUCCAGAUUCCUUGAAAUCCUUCUCCAUUUACAUGUCAAAUCUGUUCUUUUAUCAUCUCAGUUCUAGGUAUUCUAAAAGAUGCAAAGUAGAAUUAGACAAUGAUUCUGCUCUGAAGCCAUCUAUAAUUUCAUAAUGAAGAUAUAAUGACAAUUCAAAUUUACAAGAGAAAGUAAUGUGCCAGAAACGAGAACCUACCAAGCAUCUGGGCAGGGAAAACACUGUUUCUGAUGUACAAGGGCCAAGCCAGAAGGGCAUCCUGGGGCAAGACAGACGUAUCAGUGACUGCAAAUAAUUCCUGGACAUUUCCUAUUUUUUAUUGUAUUUUCCCUCAGUUAUCUACACUUUCUCUUUUUCCCAAUAAAAUUAGUCCAAUCUUACAUUACAAUAUUUCACCUUGUUAAUAAAACCCAGGACCAAAGAAGGAGAAUAACAGGGUUUUCUAAUCACCAUAUCUUAAUCUCUGAAUCUAGUCUGGACAGAAUGAUCACUUCCUGGAGGAAGUUGUCAUAGGGAGCGUUUACCAGCCAGUGGAAUAGGGACCCCUGCCG
RNAcentral lists this long non-coding RNA (4331 nucleotides) under Equus caballus (horse). Its description in RNAcentral is "lncRNA (ENSECAG00000043352.2)". Lineage: Eukaryota; Metazoa; Chordata; Mammalia; Perissodactyla; Equidae. The record is from RNAcentral.